AUUGAACGCUGGCGGCAUGCUUUACACAUGCAAGUCGAACGGUAACAGGCCUACGGGUUCUGCCUAGUGGCGACGGGGGGCGUAAUGCAUCGGAACGUGCCCGAAGGUGGGGGUUAACGCAGCGAAAGCUGUGCUAAUUCCCCAUUAGAUCUCAGGCUAAAAGCGGGGGACAGGGGGGGAAUGUUUGGCCUCGCGCCUUUGGAUGAGCCGAUGUCGGAUUAGGUAGUUGGUGGGGUAAAGGCCUACCAAGGCGACGAUCUGUAGCUGGUCUGAGAGGACGAUCAGCCACACUGGGACUGAGACACGGCCCAGACUCCUACGGGAGGCAGCAGUGGGGAAUUUUGGACAAUGGGCGCAAGCCUGAUCCAGCAAUGCCGCGUGCGUGAAGAAGGCCUUCGGGUUGUAAACCGCUUUUGUACGGAACGAAAAGGCUCUGGCUAAUACCUCGGGCUGAUGACGGUACCGAAAGAAUAAGCACCGGCUAACUACGUG
This 492-nucleotide ribosomal RNA is filed under the name uncultured bacterium. Its description in RNAcentral is "partial 16S ribosomal RNA". It matches the Rfam family "Bacterial small subunit ribosomal RNA", at positions 30 to 507 of the family's 1533-position model. The record is from RNAcentral.